GAUGAACGCUGGCGGCGUGCCUAAUACAUGCAAGUCGAGCGAACAGACGAGGAGCUUGCUCCUCUGACGUUAGCGGCGGACGGGUGAGUAACACGUGGAUAACCUACCUAUAAGACUGGGAUAACUUCGGGAAACCGGAGCUAAUACCGGAUAAUAUAUUGAACCGCAUGGUUCAAUAGUGAAAGACGGUUUUUGCUGUCACUUAUAGAUGGAUCCGCGCCGCAUUAGCUAGUUGGUAAGGUAACGGCUUACCAAGGCAACGAUGCGUAGCCGACCUGAGAGGGUGAUCGGCCACACUGGAACUGAGACACGGUCCAGACUCCUACGGGAGGCAGCAGUAGGGAAUCUUCCGCAAUGGGCGAAAGCUUGACGGAGCAACGCCGCGUGAGUGAUGAAGGUCUUCGGAUCGUAAAACUCUGUUAUUAGGGAAGAACAAAUGUGUAAGUAACUAUGCACGUCUUGACGGUACCUAAUCAGAAAGCCACGGCUAACUACGUG
Molecule: ribosomal RNA, 498 nt
Filed under: uncultured bacterium
Lineage: Bacteria
Description: partial 16S ribosomal RNA
Rfam family: Bacterial small subunit ribosomal RNA
Source: RNAcentral